Molecule: long non-coding RNA, 485 nt
Organism: Acinonyx jubatus (cheetah)
Lineage: Eukaryota; Metazoa; Chordata; Mammalia; Carnivora; Felidae
Exons: 2
Source: RefSeq, a predicted model, not a curated record
GCAGGACGGCGUGGGGCGGCGCCGGCCCCGCCGCGCCUUCCCCGUCGGCGGCCCCGGCGAGCGGCGGUGGUACAGUCCGAGACAGCCCCCGGCUAUAAAUAGCGCCAGGCGCAUGGCUCUUCGGGAGGCGCUGAGAUUCCGGGCCCGGCGGCCGCGGGGAGCGGGUGCCCGUUAGGAACGGGGCUGCUGGCCUCCUCUUUGCCUUUUGGGGGUUCUUUUUGUAAUAGCAGCAGACUAGAAAAAGCGAGUCGGCUUGGAGGGAGUCCGCCCAGCGAUCCGAGUGCGCAUUGAUCAGUGUCGAGAGAAAAAAAGCUACAUAAAUAUAUAUUAUGUGGAUAAAUCUGUAGACAAGAGCUCUCUGGCGCGCGCUCUCUUUCUCUCCGUGUCUCCCUGCUUUUUUCCUCCUCGAAUCCCCAACCUGCCAGAGCAGCCCCAAAUCUUCGCCCUCCCGCACGGCAUCUGCCGCCACCCGAGCCACCUGGGAG